This 136-nucleotide ribosomal RNA is filed under the name Bulbostylis scabricaulis. RNAcentral's name for it is "5.8S ribosomal RNA". It matches the Rfam family "5.8S ribosomal RNA", at positions 9 to 140 of the family's 154-position model. Rfam says of the family: 5.8S ribosomal RNA (5.8S rRNA) is a component of the large subunit of the eukaryotic ribosome. It is transcribed by RNA polymerase I as part of the 45S precursor that also contains 18S and 28S rRNA. The record is from RNAcentral. Lineage: Eukaryota; Viridiplantae; Streptophyta; Magnoliopsida; Poales; Cyperaceae.
CCGGCAACGGAUAUCUCGGCUCUCGCAUCGAUGAAGAACGUAGCGAAAUGCGAUACGUGGUGUGAAUUGCAGAAUCCCGUGAACCAUCGAGUCUUUGAAUGCAAGUUGCGCCCGAGGGACCAUCCCGAGGGCACGC